RNAcentral lists this ribosomal RNA (629 nucleotides) under Chaetothyriales sp. A893. RNAcentral's name for it is "SSU rRNA". It matches the Rfam family "Bacterial small subunit ribosomal RNA", at positions 471 to 1197 of the family's 1533-position model. The record is from RNAcentral. Lineage: Eukaryota; Fungi; Ascomycota; Eurotiomycetes; Chaetothyriales.
GACAACUAUUUAUCUAUAAGUCUUGUCUAAAUUACGUGCCAGCAGACGCGGUAAUACGUAGAAGACUAGUGUUAUUCAUCUUUAAUGGGUUUAAAGGGUACCUAGACGGAAAAUCAAGCCAAAUAAAGGGACUAAUAUUCUAGAGUUUUAUAAAAGAAGAUGGAAUUUUCGGAGUAGAGUUGAAAUUCAGUUAUACCGUGAAGACUGGUAACGGCGAAGGCAAUCUUCUAUGUAAAAACUGACGUUGAGGGACGAAGCCUAGGGUAACGAUAAGGAUUAGAGACCCUAAUAGUCCUAGGAGAAAAUUAUGAAUGUCAUAAGCUAGAUUAUUUUAGUUUAUAAAUGAAAGUGUAAGCAUUCCACCUCAUGAGUAAAGCGGCAACGCUCAAAUUGAAAUCAUUAGACCGUUUCUGAAACCAGUAGUGAAGUAUGUUAUUUAAUUCGAUGAUCCGCGAAUAACCUUACCACAAUUUGAAUAUUUUACAAGUGCUGCACGGCUGUCUUUAGCUAAUGUCGUGAGAUUUGGUUAACUCCUCUAAUUAGCGCAAGCCCUUGCUUUAUUUAUUUUUUUAUAAAGUAGUUCACCAAUAUAUCAGUACAGAUAAUAGGGAUUAAGACAAGUCAUCAUG